GGAAUAAAAGUCGUAACAAGGUUUCCGUAGGUGAACCUGCGGAAGGAUCAUUCAUAAUAAGUGUUUUAUGGCACUUUUUUAAAUCCAUAUCCACCUUGUGUGCAAUGUCAGGGUUGAUUUUUCUCUCGAGAGGAUCAACCCCAAACAUCAACUAUAUCUCAACUCUUUGUCUGAAAAAUAUUAUGAAUAAAACAAUUCAAAAUACAACUUUCAACAACGGAUCUCUUGGCUCUC
Molecule: unclassified non-coding RNA, 234 nt
Filed under: plant metagenome
Description: partial contains small subunit ribosomal RNA, internal transcribed spacer 1, and 5.8S ribosomal RNA
Rfam family: Eukaryotic small subunit ribosomal RNA (bases 1-53)
Source: RNAcentral